UACGUAGGGAGCAAGCGUUAUCCGGAAUUAUUGGGUGUAAAGGGUGCGUAGACGGGAGAGCAAGUUGGUCUGUGAAAUCCCUCGGCUCAACUGAGGAACUGCAACCAAAACUAUCUUUCUUGAGUGCAGGAGAGGAAAGAGGAAUUCCUAGUGUAGCGGUGAAAUGCGUAGAUAUUAGGAGGAACACCAGUGGCGAAGGCGUCUUUCUGGACUGUAACUGACGUUGAGGCACGAAAGUGUGGGGAGCAAACAGG
This 254-nucleotide ribosomal RNA is filed under the name uncultured Eubacteriales bacterium. RNAcentral describes it as "uncultured Clostridiales bacterium partial 16S ribosomal RNA". It matches the Rfam family "Bacterial small subunit ribosomal RNA", at positions 524 to 776 of the family's 1533-position model. Lineage: Bacteria; Bacillati; Bacillota; Clostridia; Eubacteriales. The record is from RNAcentral.